UACGUAGGGUGCAAGCGUUGUCCGGAAUUAUUGGGCGUAAAGAGCUUGUAGGCGGUUUGUCGCGUCUGCUGUGAAAUUUCGGGGCUCAACCCCGAACUUGCAGUGGGUACGGGCAGACUAGAGUGUGGUAGGGGAGACUGGAAUUCCUGGUGUAGCGGUGAAAUGCGCAGAUAUCGGGAGGAACACCGAUGGCGAAGGCAGCACUCUGGGCCGGUACUGACGCUGAGGAGCGAAAGCGUGGGGAGCGAACAGG
This 253-nucleotide ribosomal RNA is filed under the name uncultured bacterium. RNAcentral describes it as "partial 16S ribosomal RNA". It matches the Rfam family "Bacterial small subunit ribosomal RNA", at positions 524 to 776 of the family's 1533-position model. The record is from RNAcentral.